This 253-nucleotide ribosomal RNA is filed under the name uncultured bacterium. Its description in RNAcentral is "partial 16S ribosomal RNA". It matches the Rfam family "Bacterial small subunit ribosomal RNA", at positions 524 to 776 of the family's 1533-position model. The record is from RNAcentral.
UACGUAGGGGGCAAGCGUUAUCCGGAUUUACUGGGUGUAAAGGGUGCGUAGGUGGCAUGGCAAGUCAGAUGUGAAAACUCGGGGCUCAACUUCGAGAUUGCAUCUGAAACUGCUAAGCUAGAGUGCAGGAGAGGAAAGCGGAAUUCCGAGUGUAGCGGUGAAAUGCGUAGAGAUUCGGAGGAACACCAGUAGCGAAGGCGGCUUUCUGGACUGUAACUGACACUGAGGCACGAAAGCGUGGGGAGCGAACAGG